GGAAUUGUUCGCAAUGGGCGCAAGCCUGACGACGCAACGCCGCGUGGAGGAUGAAGAUCUUCGGGUCGUAAACUCCUGUCGAGCGGGAAGAAUUGCUUCGGGGUCAAUACCUCCGGAGCUUGACGGUACCGCUAAAGGAAGCCCCGGCUAACUCCGUGCCAGCCGCCGCGGUAAUACGGGGGGGGGCAAGCGUUGUUCGGAAUUACUGGGCGUAAAGGGCUCGUAGGCGGCCGACUAAGUCAGACGUGAAAUCCCCAGGCUCAACCUGGGAACUGCGUCUGAUACUGGUGGGCUUGAAUUCGGGAGAGGGAUGCAGAAUUCCAGGUGUAGCGGUGAAAUGCGUAGAUAUCUGGAGGAAUACCGGUGGCGAAGGCGGCAUCCUGGACCGACAUUGACGCUGAGGAGCGAAAGCUAGGGGAGCAAA
This 424-nucleotide ribosomal RNA is filed under the name uncultured bacterium. RNAcentral describes it as "bacterial SSU rRNA". It matches the Rfam family "Bacterial small subunit ribosomal RNA", at positions 358 to 772 of the family's 1533-position model. The record is from RNAcentral.